GUCUACGGCCAUGCCACCCUGAACAAGCCCGAUGUCUGAUCUCAGAAGCUAAGCAGGGUCAGGCCUGGUUAGUACUUGGAUGGGAGACCACCUAGGAAGACCAGGUUCUGUAGGCA
This 116-nucleotide ribosomal RNA is filed under the name Pteropus alecto (black flying fox). Lineage: Eukaryota; Metazoa; Chordata; Mammalia; Chiroptera; Pteropodidae. The record is from RNAcentral.